ACGUCUUCUCCUUGAGUUAUUGGCUCUUUUUUGCAUUCACCCAGCUACUUCAUCCAGCUUAAGGGCUCAGGAGUAGGCCAUUGUGGAGGAAGUGACAGGAGCCCUGUUAUGUAAGAAGACAGGGAGGUAGAUUGCCCAUGCUCACCUCCGGGAGCCUCAGUCACUCUACCACAGAGUGCCCCAGGAGAGACAGAAUGAAAGGAAAGGAAGCAGUGAAAAUGAAGAGGCCAGUGCUGAUGUUCUGGUAGCCUACAUGUCUUCCCUACUUUGAUGGUCUCCAGACUCAGUCUUCAUCAUUUAUUCUUGCUUCCUGCCCCAAGUAUGGGCCACUUCGGCACCCUAAAAUGAUUUCUAUUAUACUGUAAGUAUAGCUGGUUUUGCUUCCUGAGAAUUUAUAAGACUCAUAACUUCAUUGGGUGAACAUGCCAUCAAAUCUUCACUACAGAAAAUGAUAGUUGAAUUUUAAAUUUUAGGGAAAAAAUGAAACUUUUCAUCAGUGAAUUCAGACAAAAAGGGAUUAU
RNAcentral lists this long non-coding RNA (521 nucleotides) under Canis lupus dingo (dingo). RNAcentral's name for it is "lncRNA (ENSCAFG00020004941.1)". The record is from RNAcentral. Lineage: Eukaryota; Metazoa; Chordata; Mammalia; Carnivora; Canidae.